UGAGCCACCAUGGGAGCUCCCUAGGCCACGGUUUUAAAUGUUCACCUCUGCCAAAUCUGAGUCUGGUUUUCACGGGUCUUCUGUCUCUUGAAACCGCUUUGACUUUUCGUAUGCCUUGUAAAUUGUUGUUGAAAGCCAGACAAGAUGCCCUGGCUAAAAGGAAUUGCUGUAAAUAGGCCUUCGGUGUUGUGACCUUGAUGUUUGGGGGGAAGGGGGCUUUCUACAGCCCUCUGCGUAGGUCUCAGUGUUUUCCUGAUCCUGUUUCCCAGGCUGUAAACUUCCCAAGUGUUUCUGUUUUUUCUUCCCAUUAGCUGGGACGGGAUCAUUAGAGGGGGCUGGGGUUGGGGAGUCACUCUCUCCCAGGUGGAUUGGCUCUGAUAAAAUCCUUUCUGCUGAGGGCAGACCUUAUUAAGAACCACAGAAUGGUCUGGGUGAAUUUCAGAAUGGUUGCUUCCCCCCUCCUCCGGACAGACGUGGAGGAAGAUGCCUCUCUGAUGGUCCCUGUAAGAACCUGGUGGAGCUCCUAGAGGUUCUAACUCACCAGGAACAACCACUCCCCCCGAAGGCCGGGCCCCCUGGAGUUUUGACCUCUCAGGUUUGUUCACCCUGAGCCUCUAGCAAUUCAGUAAUUACUGUUUUGCCCUCUUGCCUGAUGGUGUCCUGGGGGCGGCUGCCUGCACGUGUUUCUGCUCCGCAGGUGUGAUCACAGGCCUGGCCCAGGUGGUUGCUGACGUUCCCUCCUCAGCCAGGCUCCCUGCUCUGCAAUUUGUUUUCUUCGUGCAAAUUAAAAUGCUGCAUUGCCCCGAUAAGCAUUCCAGGAGAACCGAAGAGGAUGAAAAACAAGAGCGCCUCACCCCUUCCCAUCCUGCUCCACCCCACCCCACUCCACUCCCACGACCUGGAGGCGACCCCUUUCAACAGUGACUGUUUUUAUUUCUUCUGGAAGUUAUUGCAAGAUCUUAGCUCCAGAGUUCCUUCGGGGCGCACACAGCAGGUUAAGAAUCCAGCACUGUCACGGCUGCUGCUCUGGUUGCUGCUGUGGCACAGGUUCAAUCCUUUGGGGGAGGGGGGACCUUCACAUGCCACGGGCACAGACUCCCCCCCCAAACAAACAAACAAACCAACAAACCAGCUCCAACGUCCCUACUUGAUUGCUUUAUAUAUCAACUUUACUGAA
Molecule: non-coding RNA, 1177 nt
Organism: Sus scrofa (pig)
Lineage: Eukaryota; Metazoa; Chordata; Mammalia; Artiodactyla; Suidae
Source: RefSeq, a predicted model, not a curated record